RNAcentral lists this unclassified non-coding RNA (248 nucleotides) under Hevea brasiliensis (rubber tree). Lineage: Eukaryota; Viridiplantae; Streptophyta; Magnoliopsida; Malpighiales; Euphorbiaceae. The record is from RNAcentral.
CAUUUACCAUUUGUCUUGGUAUCUCAUAACCUUUAACUCUCUUUUUAGACUUACCAGCAUGCAUAAGAUAUCGGAAUAGCAAUGAGCAACAAUAUAAUAUAAUUAAUUUGAACAAUAAAGAUGAAUCAAAUAAUCAACAUAUUAUCCGAAGCAAAUUACAUUUUCAAAGGAUCAAAAAUUAAUUUAGAAGUAAAUCCAUGCCAUAUAUUGUAAAAAUCACUCACCUGAUCUCAUGAUACCAACUAGCA